Molecule: ribosomal RNA, 506 nt
Filed under: uncultured bacterium
Lineage: Bacteria
Description: bacterial SSU rRNA
Rfam family: Bacterial small subunit ribosomal RNA
Source: RNAcentral
AGUGAACGCUGGCGGCAGGCCUAAUACAUGCAAGUCGAACGGCAGCACAGCAGAGCUUGCUCUGUGGGUGGCGAGUGGCGGACGGGUGAGGAAUACGUGGGAAUCUGCCCAGUCGUGGGGGAUAACGUAGGGAAACUUACGCUAAUACCGCAUGCGCCCUUCGGGGAAAGCCGGGGACCUUCGGGCCUGGCGCGAUUGGAUGAGCCCACGUCGGAUUAGCUAGCUGGCGGGGUAAAGGCCCACCAAGGCGACGAUCCGUAGCUGGUCUGAGAGGAUGAUCAGCCACACUGGAACUGAGACACGGUCCAGACUCCUACGGGAGGCAGCAGUAGGGAAUAUUGGACAAUGGGCGCAAGCCUGAUCCAGCCAUGCCGCGUGAGUGAAGAAGGUCCUCGGGUUGUAAAGCUCUUUUGUCCGGAAAGAAAAGCGCCGGGUUAAUACCCUGGUGUCCUGACGGUACCGGAAGAAUAAGCACCGGCUAACUUCGUGCCAGCAGCCGCGGUAAU